This 300-nucleotide long non-coding RNA is filed under the name Chinchilla lanigera (long-tailed chinchilla). Its description in RNAcentral is "lncRNA (ENSCLAG00000026255.1)". The record is from RNAcentral. Lineage: Eukaryota; Metazoa; Chordata; Mammalia; Rodentia; Chinchillidae.
UGCUCACACAGACUAUCGCCACACAGUAGGCCACCCCGCCAAGCUGUACCCACUGGAUCCCUCAAACCUGAGAGCAAUGGCCAGGUCUGCCAGAGACCCCCACCGCAGCCGCCCUCCUCCCUGGAGGGGAAGGUGGUGUUUGAUGUCGGAGUGCCCAGAGGGGCACUAUGCGGCCAAAAUUUAGCGGCGACAGGAAAGAGAAGAAACCAAACUGCCUUCAUCCGGAAGACCAGAUGAAGAUGUAGGUCCCCCAAAUCCUUGCGGGGUUAACUGCAGGAGAAAAGGAACUAAAAGGUACUG